RNAcentral lists this ribosomal RNA (468 nucleotides) under uncultured bacterium. Its description in RNAcentral is "partial 16S ribosomal RNA". It matches the Rfam family "Bacterial small subunit ribosomal RNA", at positions 28 to 507 of the family's 1533-position model. The record is from RNAcentral.
GACGAACGCUGGCGGCGUGCUUAACACAUGCAAGUCGAACGGAAAGGCCCUGCUUUUGUGGGGUGCUCGAGUGGCGAACGGGUGAGUAACACGUGAGUAACCUUCCCUUUACUUUGGGAUAACUUCAGGAAACUGGGGCUAAUACCUGCUAGGAGCUCCUGCUGCAUGGUGGGGGUUGGAAAGUUUCGGCGGUUGGGGAUGGACUCGCGGCUUAUCAGCUUGUUGGUGGGGUAGUGGCUUACCAAGGCUUUGACGGGUAGCCGGCCUGAGAGGGUGACCGGCCACAUUGGGACUGAGAUACGGCCCAGACUCCUACGGGAGGCAGCAGUGGGGAAUAUUGCACAAUGGGCGGAAGCCUGAUGCAGCAACGCCGCGUGCGGGAUGAAGGCCUUCGGGUUGUAAACCGCUUUCGCCUGUGACGAAGCGUGAGUGACGGUAAUGGGUAAAGAAGCACCGGCUAACUACGUG